GAUGAACGCUGGCGGCGUGCCUAAUACAUGCAAGUCGAGCGAACGGACGAGAAUCUUGCUUCUCUGAUGUUAGCGGCGGACGGGUGAGUAACACGUGGAUAACCUACCUAUCAGACUGGGAUAACUUCGGGAAACCGGAGCUACUACCGGAUAAUAUUUUGAACCGCAUGGUUCAAAAGUGAAAGACGGUCUUGCUGUCACUUAUAGAUGGAUCUGCGCUGCAUUAGCUAGUUGGUAAGGUAACGGCUUACCAAGGCAACGAUGCAUAGCCGACCUGAGAGGGUGAUCGGCCACACUGGAACUGAGACACGGUCCAGACUCCUACGGGAGGCAGCAGUAGGGAAUCUUCCGCAAUGGGCGAAAGCCUGACGGAGAAACGCCGAGUGAGUGAUGAAGGUCUUCGGAUCGUAAAACUCUGUUAUUAGGGAAGAACAUAUGUGUAAGUAACUGUGCACAUCUUGACGGUACCUAAUCAGAAAGCCACGGCUAACUACGUG
Molecule: ribosomal RNA, 497 nt
Filed under: uncultured bacterium
Lineage: Bacteria
Description: partial 16S ribosomal RNA
Rfam family: Bacterial small subunit ribosomal RNA
Source: RNAcentral